UAAGCGACUAAGCGUACACGGUGGAUGCCCUGGCAGUCAGAGGCGAUGAAGGACGUGCUAAUCUGCGAAAAGCGUCGGUAAGGUGAUAUGAACCGUUAUAACCGGCGAUGUCCGAAUGGGGAAACCCAGUGCAAUUCGUUGCACUAUCGUUAACUGAAUACAUAGGUUAACGAGGCGAACCGGGGGAACUGAAACAUCUAAGUACCCCGAGGAAAAGAAAUCAACCGAGAUUCCCCCAGUAGCGGCGAGCGAACGGGGAGCAGCCCAGAGUCUGAAUCAGCUUGUGUGUUAGUGGAACGGUCUGGAAAGUCCGACGGUACAGGGUGAUAGUCCCGUACACCAAAAUGCACAGGCUGUGAACUCGAAGAGUAGGGCGGGACACGUGGUAUCCUGUCUGAAUAUGGGGGGACCAUCCUCCAAGGCUAAAUACUCCUGACUGACCGAUAGUGAACCAGUACCGUGAGGGAAAGGCGAAAAGAACCCCGGCGAGGGGAGUGAAAAAGAACCUGAAACCGUGUACGUACAAGCAGUGGGAGCACCUUCGGGUGUGACUGCGUACCUUUUGUAUAAUGGGUCAGCGACUUAUAUUCUGUAGCAAGGUUAACCGUAUAGGGGAGCCGCAGGGAAACCGAGUCUUAACUGGGCGUUAAGUUGCAGGGUAUAGACCCGAAACCCGGUGAUCUAGCCAUGGGCAGGUUGAAGGUUGGGUAACACUAACUGGAGGACCGAACCGACUAAUGUUGAAAAAUUAGCGGAUGACUUGUGGCUGGGGGUGAAAGGCCAAUCAAACCGGGAGAUAGCUGGUUCUCCCCGAAAGCUAUUUAGGUAGCGCCUCGUGAACUCAUCUUCGGGGGUAGAGCACUGUUUCGGCUAGGGGGUCAUCCCGACUUACCAACCCGAUGCAAACUACGAAUACCGAAGAAUGUUAUCACGGGAGACACACGGCGGGUGCUAACGUCCGUCGUGAAGAGGGAAACAACCCAGACCGCCAGCUAAGGUCCCAAAGUCAUGGUUAAGUGGGAAACGAUGUGGGAAGGCACAGACAGCCAGGAUGUUGGCUUAGAAGCAGCCAUCAUUUAAAGAAAGCGUAAUAGCUCACUGGUCGAGUCGGCCUGCGCGGAAGAUGUAACGGGGCUAAACCAUGCACCGAAGCUGCGGCAGCGACACUAUGUGUUGUUGGGUAGGGGAGCGUUCUGUAAGCCUGCGAAGGUGUGCUGUGAGGCAUGCUGGAGGUAUCAGAAGUGCGAAUGCUGACAUAAGUAACGAUAAAGCGGGUGAAAAGCCCGCUCGCCGGAAGACCAAGGGUUCCUGUCCAACGUUAAUCGGGGCAGGGUGAGUCGACCCCUAAGGCGAGGCCGAAAGGCGUAGUCGAUGGGAAACAGGUUAAUAUUCCUGUACUUGGUGUUACUGCGAAGGGGGGACGGAGAAGGCUAUGUUAGCCGGGCGACGGUUGUCCCGGUUUAAGCAUGUAGGCUGAUUGUCCAGGCAAAUCCGGAUAAUCAAGGCUGAGGUGUGAUGACGAGGCACUACGGUGCUGAAGUAACAAAUGCCCUGCUUCCAGGAAAAGCCUCUAAGCAUCAGGUAACAUUAAAUCGUACCCCAAACCGACACAGGUGGUCAGGUAGAGAAUACCAAGGCGCUUGAGAGAACUCGGGUGAAGGAACUAGGCAAAAUGGUGCCGUAACUUCGGGAGAAGGCACGCUGGUGUGUAGGUGAAGUCCCUGCGGAUGGAGCUGAGACCAGUCGAAGAUACCAGCUGGCUGCAACUGUUUAUUAAAAACACAGCACUGUGCAAACACGAAAGUGGACGUAUACGGUGUGACGCCUGCCCGGUGCCGGAAGGUUAAUUGAUGGGGUUAUCCGUAAGGAGAAGCUCUUGAUCGAAGCCCCGGUAAACGGCGGCCGUAACUAUAACGGUCCUAAGGUAGCGAAAUUCCUUGUCGGGUAAGUUCCGACCUGCACGAAUGGCGUAAUGAUGGCCAGGCUGUCUCCACCCGAGACUCAGUGAAAUUGAACUCGCUGUGAAGAUGCAGUGUACCCGCGGCAAGACGGAAAGACCCCGUGAACCUUUACUAUAGCUUGACACUGAACAUUGAGCCUUGAUGUGUAGGAUAGGUGGGAGGCUUUGAAGCGUGGACGCCAGUCUGCGUGGAGCCAACCUUGAAAUACCACCCUUUAAUGUUUGAUGUUCUAACGUUGGCCCCUGACCGGGGUUGCGGACAGUGUCUGGUGGGUAGUUUGACUGGGGCGGUCUCCUCCCAAAGCGUAACGGAGGAGCACGAAGGUUAGCUAAUCCUGGUCGGACAUCAGGAGGUUAGUGCAAUGGCAUAAGCUAGCUUGACUGCGAGCGUGACGGCGCGAGCAGGUGCGAAAGCAGGUCAUAGUGAUCCGGUGGUUCUGAAUGGAAGGGCCAUCGCUCAACGGAUAAAAGGUACUCCGGGGAUAACAGGCUGAUACCGCCCAAGAGUUCAUAUCGACGGCGGUGUUUGGCACCUCGAUGUCGGCUCAUCACAUCCUGGGGCUGAAGUAGGUCCCAAGGGUAUGGCUGUUCGCCAUUUAAAGUGGUACGCGAGCUGGGUUUAGAACGUCGUGAGACAGUUCGGUCCCUAUCUGCCGUGGGCGCUGGAGAAUUGAGGGGGGCUGCUCCUAGUACGAGAGGACCGGAGUGGACGCAUCACUGGUGUUCGGGUUGUCAUGCCAAUGGCACUGCCCGGUAGCUAAAUGCGGAAGAGAUAAGUGCUGAAAGCAUCUAAGCACGAAACUUGCCCCGAGAUGAGUUCUCCCUGAGACUUUAAGUCUCCUGAAGGAACGUUAAAGACGAUGACGUUGAUAGGCCGGGUGUGUAAGCGCAGCGAUGCGUUGAGCUAACCGGUACUAAUGAACCGUGAGGCUUAACCU
RNAcentral lists this ribosomal RNA (2898 nucleotides) under Klebsiella pneumoniae. RNAcentral describes it as "bacterial LSU rRNA". It matches the Rfam family "Bacterial large subunit ribosomal RNA". The record is from RNAcentral. RNAcentral also lists the same sequence under 1 other name. Lineage: Bacteria; Pseudomonadati; Pseudomonadota; Gammaproteobacteria; Enterobacterales; Enterobacteriaceae.